RNAcentral lists this unclassified non-coding RNA (263 nucleotides) under plant metagenome. RNAcentral describes it as "partial contains small subunit ribosomal RNA, internal transcribed spacer 1, and 5.8S ribosomal RNA". The record is from RNAcentral.
UUUCCGUAGGUGAACCUGCGGAAGGAUCAUUAUUGUAUAACCGAGGUGCGAGGGUUGUCGCUGACCCGAAAGGUCGUGCACGCCCGAGUGCCCUCACACACAUCCAUCUCACCCCUAUGUGCACCACCGCGUGGGUCCCCCUUUGGCUUGUUCGGAGGGGGGCUUACGUUUUCACACAAACUUUGUAUGCAGUGUAGAAUGUAUUUUUUGUUUUUGCGAUCACGCAAUCAAUACAACUUUCAACAACGGAUCUCUUGGCUCUC